This 252-nucleotide ribosomal RNA is filed under the name uncultured bacterium. RNAcentral describes it as "partial 16S ribosomal RNA". It matches the Rfam family "Bacterial small subunit ribosomal RNA", at positions 524 to 776 of the family's 1533-position model. The record is from RNAcentral.
UACAGAGGUCCCGAGCGUUGUUCGGAUUCACUGGGCGUAAAGGGUGCGUAGGUGGCUUGACAAGUUUGAUGUGAAAUCUCCGGGCUUAACCCGGAAAUGCAUUGAAUACUGUAGAGGCUUGAGGUUUGGAGGGGGACUGGAAUUCUCGGUGUAGCAGUGAAAUGCGUAGAUAUCGUAAGGAAGACCAGUGGCGAAGGCGGGUCUCUGGACAGUUCCUGACGCUGAGGCACGAAGGUCAGGGGAGCAAACGGG